Molecule: ribosomal RNA, 491 nt
Filed under: Escherichia coli
Lineage: Bacteria; Pseudomonadati; Pseudomonadota; Gammaproteobacteria; Enterobacterales; Enterobacteriaceae
Description: partial 23S ribosomal RNA
Rfam family: Bacterial large subunit ribosomal RNA
Source: RNAcentral
AUGGAGCCGACCUUGAAAUACCACCCUUUAAUGUUUGAUGUUCUAACGUUGACCCGUAAUCCGGGUUGCGGACAGUGUCUGGUGGGUAGUUUGACUGGGGCGGUCUCCUCCUAAAGAGUAACGGAGGAGCACGAAGGUUGGCUAAUCCUGGUCGGACAUCAGGAGGUUAGUGCAAUGGCAUAAGCCAGCUUGACUGCGAGCGUGACGGCGCGAGCAGGUGCGAAAGCAGGUCAUAGUGAUCCGGUGGUUCUGAAUGGAAGGGCCAUCGCUCAACGGAUAAAAGGUACUCCGGGGAUAACAGGCUGAUACCGCCCAAGAGUUCAUAUCGACGGCGGUGUUUGGCACCUCGAUGUCGGCUCAUCACAUCCUGGGGCUGAAGUAGGUCCCAAGGGUAUGGCUGUUCGCCAUUUAAAGUGGUACGCGAGCUGGGUUUAGAACGUCGUGAGACAGUUCGGUCCCUAUCUGCCGUGGGCGCUGGAGAACUGAGGGGG